RNAcentral lists this ribosomal RNA (30 nucleotides) under Sarocladium implicatum. RNAcentral's name for it is "partial 28S ribosomal RNA". The record is from RNAcentral. Lineage: Eukaryota; Fungi; Ascomycota; Sordariomycetes; Hypocreales; Sarocladiaceae.
GGUUGAGCCUCGGAUCAGGUAGGAAUACCC